Long non-coding RNA from Oncorhynchus nerka (sockeye salmon), 289 nucleotides. RefSeq lists it as uncharacterized. NCBI's taxonomy places the organism in Eukaryota, Metazoa, Chordata, Actinopteri, Salmoniformes, Salmonidae. The record is from RefSeq and is a predicted model, not a curated record. The transcript has 2 exons.
UAGAUUCUUUAUCUUAUUUAGUGUCUCUUAGAUUCUUUAUCUUAUUUAGUGUCUCUUAGAUUCUUUAUCUUGAAGUGUUUCCAUUAUUAGUCCAGGUAUUAUUAUAAUCAUCUGUUCAUUCUUUGUAUUUUGAAACAUUUUUUAAUAAAGGGGUUUGUUGUUGUUUACCUCUCAUGAUGUUAUUGAUUAUAAAUGUUAUAUUGAUUAUGAUGUAGAUUAUUGUUAUGAUGUUGCUCUCUAAACUGCCAUGUAAUCAACUGGAUGCUUUUAAUAAAAUUACAGGCUGUCA